Long non-coding RNA from Scleropages formosus (Asian bonytongue), 2228 nucleotides. The record is from Ensembl. NCBI's taxonomy places the organism in Eukaryota, Metazoa, Chordata, Actinopteri, Osteoglossiformes, Osteoglossidae.
GUUCAAAGACAUGCUGUUCGGGUUCAGCCGUAGUGUGUGAGUUUUACUGAUGUCUGUUUUUACCUGUUUCUGUCUUGCAAUAAGUUCCAACAGACCAACGCACCCUGUGGCUGGUAAGCGUACCACGGUUUACCCCUUGGCCUUGCUCUCUCCCGAGCUGCCUACGGGUCCGGGGUUGGGGGAGCAGCCACUUUCACUGGGGCGGGAGGCCGGUGCUGUUCCCUCAGUCUGUUGACUGCAGCCAGAACUGUUGUCAACUCACUGAAGUACAGCCACCUGGGCAUCAUAUGCCAGCUUUAUAAAUGAGGGUAUCAGCUCGGAAAAGGUUAAUGAGGGUCAGGGUGAGGCAAAAAGAAAAAAAAGCAGGAGGAGUAGUAGCACGAAUAAGCACCAACCACAAAAGUGGGUGAUAAAUCACAAAAUGUGCUCCAGAGGAAAUGCUUUUGUGGAACAGCGCUUUCAGCUGCACAAAUAAUCAUACAUGUUCACUGUUAUCACCUAGCGACGCUUCUCAGAAUUUAUAAUUGUAGGUCUCCGUCCGACUUCUCCUCCUGCUCCCUGUGGGUGGAGGAAGGACGCGGCGCUAAAUACAGCCCUUCGGACCCUGUGCCAUCGAGAAGGUUCUCGAUCCCCCCUCGCGCACAACUGGGACGGAGCUCGUGGGCACCUGGCGCUGCGCUCAUCAUGGGCAGGAGAAAGUCCGGCAAACGGCCCUUUUUUAGAAAGAGAAAGGCGGUGUUGAAGACAACCGAUGGGAAAGUCGCUUCUAUGAGACGUAGGAGGUGCAUUGAAGUGCAGGAAGUCCAGGAGGCGAAUGAAAGGGCAAAAUCCGUCACUGUGUUUUUGCGCACAGGGGAGGGGAAGUCGGUCCACAUGGCGUUCUGUUUCCAGCGGAAAAAAAAAAAACAAUUUUCUUGUUUUUAAAAAUAAUAAGCUCCAGGUAAUAAUGAUUUUUCUUGUUGCCUUUAAUGGUUCAGGGAAGCAUGCUUUCAAACAGUGUUUACUCUUUCGUCAUUGCUCAUUAAACAUCCACAACAUUUUACGAGAACUGUAUUUUAUCUUCCAGAUUUCUGAAACUCAAAUACGCUGCAGUUCAAACUGCAGCGACGCUGUAAUAAAUCAGCCUCUGGAAUUUCCUCAGAGUUUUUUCUUUUCAAUUGUGCAUUCAAGGAUGUCUGUAAACUUGCCAGAUUCCUCCCAGGGUCAUAUGAUUUCUGUUUACUGGUGAAUUUGAGGUGGUCUCCACUUCCAUGAAUUCUCUCGUGAACAGAGGGUCACUUACAUGAGUUGGCCCACAGGAACUUCUCUUUGCACCCAGCUCUUCCAGUCAUAACCAUCUCCAGGGCCGCUUUUAUGAUGUGAACAAGUGUCAAACUUCAGUGUUGAAAAGAAGUCUAGCAGUCAGCCUGUUGUCAACGUAUAAAUUUGUGUUCUGUACAUAUACAUUGCUGUGAAGAAGUAAGUACACCCCACCCAAAAAAACAGUGUGUUUAACAAUCUUGUAUGUAUGGACAUUUUAUUUUUCAUUUGAACAAUACUAAUAGAUAAAGGUGAUGCGUAGAUUAGAUUAAUCCUCUUCGCUCCAGAUGGAGCAAAAGGUGCGAACAAAUGUCCACCAGCCAUUCGCGAUCCUAAACUAACAAGCUGAUUUCGUUCCAGUCUUGCCCAUCUUCUUUAACUCUCUUCUUUGACUGUCCUUCUCCAGGUGCCCAGGGUUCUACCUUACUGUCGCUUGCUAGGUGGUGCCCAUCUGAGUGCUACGUAGGGGUGUCUGGUCACAUUCUCGUGCAGUACGUGGCCCAGCCAUCUCCAACGCACGUCUCUGUUUCCUUUUGUGUGUAAUGAUGUUAACGCUCCUCCGUUCACUUAUUUCUCUGUUACUUGCAUGUCGUUACCAGCGGACUCUGAGGAUUCCUUGGCGGCAUCGACCUUCAGAACCUCUGAGCCGGCUGUCAACCUUCUUGUUUCUCCUCCGAGUCUCCGCAGCAUGCAGCACAACCGAUUGCACGUUCAAUCUGUAGAUCUCAAACUUGGUCCUGUCAUGCAACACAGAUGAUUUCCAGAUGUUAAGUCUGCUGAAAGCUUGCGCUGCCAGCGCAACCUGCGUAGAAAUUUCUCUCUCAAUAUUGCAAUCAGUUGAGAUGUAGCUGCCAAGAUACUUGAAGUCCUUUACUGCAUCCAGUUCUAUCCCUUUGAUAAUCGCUUUAUUUCUAGUGGUGGUCUUCACU